Molecule: unclassified non-coding RNA, 310 nt
Filed under: plant metagenome
Description: partial contains 5.8S ribosomal RNA, internal transcribed spacer 2, and large subunit ribosomal RNA
Rfam family: 5.8S ribosomal RNA (bases 1-105)
Source: RNAcentral
GAAAUGCGAUAAGUAGUGUGAAUUGCAGAAUUCAGUGAAUCAUCGAAUCUUUGAACGCACAUUGCGCCCCUUGGUAUUCCAUGGGGCAUGCCUGUUCGAGCGUCAUUUGUACCCUCAAGCUCUGCUUGGUGUUGGGUGUUUGUCCCCGUCUCCGCGCGUGGACUCGCCCCAAAGUGAUUGGCGGCCGGCGUACUGGUCCCGGAGCGCAGCACAUGUCGCGCAAACGAGUGCCUUGGUACGGCGGCGUCCAUAAGCCCCUCUCUCACGCUCUUGACCUCGGAUCAGGUAGGGAUACCCGCUGAACUCAAGC